UAGGGAAUCUUCCACAAUGGGCGAAAGCUUGACGGAGCAACGCCGCGUGAGUGAUGAAGGUCUUCGGAUCGUAAAACUCUGUUAUUAGGGAAGAACAAAUGUGUAAGUAACUAUGCACGUCUUGACGGUACCUAAUCAGAAAGCCACGGCUAACUACGUGCCAGCAGCCGCGGUAAUACGUAGGUGGCAAGCGUUAUCCGGAAUUAUUGGGCGUAAAGCGCGCGUAGGCGGUUUUUUAAGUCUGAUGUGAAAGCCCACGGCUCAACCGUGGAGGGUCAUUGGAAACUGGAAAACUUGAGUGCAGAAGAGGAAAGUGGAAUUCCAUGUGUAGCGGUGAAAUGCGCAGAGAUAUGGAGGAACACCAGUGGCGAAGGCGACUUUCUGGUCUGUAACUGACGCUGAUGUGCGAAAGCGUGGGGAUCAAACAGG
This 429-nucleotide ribosomal RNA is filed under the name Actinomycetes bacterium. RNAcentral describes it as "Actinobacteria bacterium partial 16S ribosomal RNA". It matches the Rfam family "Bacterial small subunit ribosomal RNA", at positions 355 to 776 of the family's 1533-position model. Lineage: Bacteria; Bacillati; Actinomycetota; Actinomycetes. The record is from RNAcentral.